AAAUGGUAAAAACAAUUACCAGCCCAUCCCCAGGUCUGUCAUAGAGUCCCAUGCCAGAACAAACUGUGGCCCGGCACCACUGCCUGGCCUCUGGUGCUGGUAGGCUACUGGGGCUAAAGCAGGAUGCACAGAG
This is a small nucleolar RNA of Ictidomys tridecemlineatus (thirteen-lined ground squirrel), 133 nucleotides long. Lineage: Eukaryota; Metazoa; Chordata; Mammalia; Rodentia; Sciuridae. The record is from Ensembl.